GCUGUAGUGGCCUAGUGGUUAGAGCGUCCGCCUCGGAUGCGGGAGGUCGUGGGUUCGAUGCCCGGUCGAGACUUACAAAA
Potamilus streckersoni is the source of this 80-nucleotide non-coding RNA. The record is from the annotation of a GenBank genome assembly. Lineage: Eukaryota; Metazoa; Mollusca; Bivalvia; Unionida; Unionidae.